GGCCUGAUGGUCUAGUAGUAUGAUUCCUUGUUAGGGUGCUGUAAACACCGUUCGAGGAGGUCCCGGGUUCAAUUCCCGGUCAGGCCC
Molecule: non-coding RNA, 87 nt
Organism: Desarmillaria tabescens
Lineage: Eukaryota; Fungi; Basidiomycota; Agaricomycetes; Agaricales; Physalacriaceae
Source: the annotation of a RefSeq genome assembly